Molecule: long non-coding RNA, 1029 nt
Filed under: Nicotiana tabacum (common tobacco)
Lineage: Eukaryota; Viridiplantae; Streptophyta; Magnoliopsida; Solanales; Solanaceae
Description: long non-coding RNA (NTAB_LNC005550)
Source: RNAcentral
UUUUGUUUUUUAAAUUAUUUUUAUGCAUAAUUUUUGAUAAAUUUAAUAUUUAAACAAUUGAGGGUAUUUUACUAAACUUAUCAGUUACAAUACAGUACGAUACAAUCAAACCAAACAGCAAAAUAUUUUUUAACAAGAACAAACAAUACAAUAUAUCCAAACAUUGUAUUCAUAAAACGAUACGAUACAAUACAAUACAUUACAAAACGAUGCAGAAGAAUGAUCCAAACAUAGUGUAAGUUCACGCCAAACCCCACAAAUUAGUAGUCCAUGUGGAAAUAUUUUAAAGGCUUUGGACAAGUGUCUAAGCCAUUCUAGAAGGCUAUGCUAAGUGGCAAACUUGAUCAGCCACUUUCUUGCCAUGCACAACAAAUUUACAUGCAAUUACAAUUAUAAAUAGCCAUCAUUUGGCUGCACAAUUCAUCCACCAUCAGAAGUGCUUUUCUACUUGGCCCUUCUUCUCUUUCUCUCUUAGCUUCCCUUAUUUCCAUUUCUUUGUCCUAUUCUCUUUUCAAUAUUGUUGGAUUAUUGUUAUAUAAAUAUUUUGAUGAUUCUCUAAAUAAAAUAGAGGUAAGCUUGUUUAAUCGUGGAGAAACAUUUCACAUUGCUGAAAUAGUUUAUUAGGACAAUGCCCAGUAUGACUCAAGUUAAUUCCUGUAUCUACCUACAAAGAAUAUUGAAACAGUGUUAUUGAAAUUCUUGCUCUCAAUUACUACACUCCAAAUCAUACUCUAUCUUUUUAAUUAGUUGGUAAAACGACAACGUAUUAUACCGAAAAUGCAGACAAGAAGCGAACCGUCGAUGGACCCAUAAUAAUAAUAAUACUUGCUUGAAAUUUGUGUAUGUAGUAUAAUAUAUAUGAGAGGAAAGCAGUACCUGUGAGCUCUUCAAUCUUCUACAGGAUAUAACUCAAUGAAGAAAAACUCUGGGCAUAAUAAGCUAAUUUGAAUUCUUCCUUGGCUAAUUGCCUUUUUCCUUAUCUUUUCAGUCGUAUUAUUAUGCGUUAGCUAACAAUUAGUAGCACCUAAU